RNAcentral lists this ribosomal RNA (490 nucleotides) under uncultured bacterium. RNAcentral describes it as "partial 16S ribosomal RNA". It matches the Rfam family "Bacterial small subunit ribosomal RNA", at positions 30 to 507 of the family's 1533-position model. The record is from RNAcentral.
AUUGAACGCUGGCGGCGGGCCUAACACAUGCAAGUCGAACGGUAACAGGAAGCAGCUUGCUGCUUCGCUGACGAGUGGCGGACGGGUGAGUAAUGUCUGGGAAACUGCCUGAUGGAGGGGGAUAACUACUGGAAACGGUAGCUAAUACCGCAUAACGUCGCAAGACCAAAGAGGGGGACCUUAGGGCCUCUUGCCAUCGGAUGUGCCCAGAUGGGAUUAGCUAGUAGGUGGGGUAACGGCUCACCUAGGCGACGAUCCCUAGCUGGUCUGAGAGGAUGACCAGCCACACUGGAACUGAGACACGGUCCAGACUCCUACGGGAGGCAGCAGUGGGGAAUAUUGCACAAAGGGCGCAAGCCUGAUGCAGCCAUGCCGCGUGUAUGAAGAAGGCCUUCGGGUUGUAAAGUACUUUCAGCGGGGAGGAAGGGAGUAAAGUUAAUACCUUUGCUCAUUGACGUUACCCGCAGAAGAAGCACCGGCUAACUCCGUG